This 76-nucleotide transfer RNA is filed under the name Candidatus Aminicenantota bacterium. RNAcentral describes it as "Candidatus Aminicenantes bacterium tRNA-Arg". It matches the Rfam family "tRNA". Rfam says of the family: Transfer RNA (tRNA) molecules are approximately 80 nucleotides in length. Their secondary structure includes four short double-helical elements and three loops (D, anti-codon, and T loops). Further hydrogen bonds mediate the characteristic L-shaped molecular structure. tRNAs have two regions of fundamental functional importance: the anti-codon, which is responsible for specific mRNA codon recognition, and the 3' end, to which the tRNAs corresponding amino acid is attached (by aminoacyl-tRNA synthetases). tRNAs cope with the degeneracy of the genetic code in two manners: having more than one tRNA (with a specific anti-codon) for a particular amino acid; and 'wobble' base-pairing, i.e. permitting non-standard base-pairing at the 3rd anti-codon position. Lineage: Bacteria; Candidatus Aminicenantota. The record is from RNAcentral.
GCGCUUGUAGCUCAGAGGAUAGAGCGUUGGUCUCCGGAACCAAAGGUCGUAGGUUCGAAUCCUACCAGGCGCGCCA